AUGAGGAGGAAGACGCAGUGAACUGAAACAUCUAAGUAGCUGCAGGAAGAGAAAGCAAAAGCGAUUGCCUUAGUAGCGGCGAGCGAAACGGCAGGAGGGCAAACCGAAGAGUUUACUCUUCGGGGUUGUAGGACUGCAAUGUGGACUCAGAUUUUAUAGAAGAAUGACAUGGGAAGGUCAGCCAAAGAGAGUAAUAGCCUCGUAUUUUAAAUAGAAUCUGUACCUAGCAGAAUCCUGAGUACGGCGGGACACGCGAAAUCCCGUCGGAAUCUGGGAGGACCAUCUCCCAACCCUAAAUACUCCCUAGUGACCGAUAGUGAACCAGUACCGUGAGGGAAAGGUGAAAAGCACCCCGGGAGGGGAGUGAAAUAGAACCUGAAACCGUGUGCCUACAACAAGUUCGAGCCCGUUAAUGGGUGAGAGCGUGCCUUUUGUAGAAUGAACCGGCGAGUUACGAUAUGAUGCGAGGUUAAGUUGAAGAGACGGAGCCGUAGGGAAACCGAGUCUGAAUAGGGCGCUUUAGUAUCAUGAUGUAGACCCGAAACCAUGUGACCUACCCAUGAGCAGGUUGAAGGUGCGGUAAAACGCACUGGAGGACCGAACCAGGGCACGUUGAAAAGUGCUUGGAUGACUUGUGGGUAGCGGAGAAAUUCCAAACGAACUUGGAGAUAGCUGGUUCUCUCCGAAAUAGCUUUAGGGCUAGCGUCGACAUGAAGAUUCUUGGAGGUAGAGCACUGUUUGGGUGAGGGGUCCAUCCCGGAUUACCAAUCUCAGAUAAACUCCGAAUGCCAAUGAAUUAUGGUCGGCAGUCAGACUGCGAGUGCUAAGAUCCGUAGUCGAAAGGGAAACAGCCCAGACCACCAGCUAAGGUCCCAAAAUAAUUGUUAAGUGGAAAAGGAUGUGGGGUUGCACAGACAACUAGGAUGUUAGCUUAGAAGCAGCUAUUCAUUCAAAGAGUGCGUAAUAGCUCACUAGUCGAGUGACCCUGCGCCGAAAAUGUACCGGGGCUAAAACAAUUUACCGAAGCUGUGGAUCCCUUAGGGGAUGGUAGGAGAGCGUUCUAUGUGUGGAGAAGGUGUACCGUGAGGAGCGCUGGAACGCAUAGAAGUGAGAAUGCCGGUAUGAGUAGCGAAAGACAGGUGAGAAUCCUGUCCACCGUAAGACUAAGGUUUCCAGGGGAAGGCUCGUCCGCCCUGGGUUAGUCGGGACCUAAGGAGAGACCGAAAGGUGUAUCCGAUGGACAACAGGUUGAUAUUCCUGUACUAGAGUAUGUAGUGAUGGAGGGACGCAGUAGGCUAACUAAAGCAGACGAAUGGAAGUGUCUGUCUAAGCAGUGAGGUGUGAAUUGAGUCAAAUGCUUAAUUCUAUAACAUUGAGCUGUGAUGGGGAGCGAAGUUUAGUAGCGAAGUUAGUGACGUCACACUGCCAAGAAAAGCUUCUAGCGUUUAAACAUACUCUACCCGUACCGCAAACCGACACAGGUAGUCGAGGCGAGUAGCCUCAGGUGAGCGAGAGAACUCUCGUUAAGGAACUCGGCAAAAUGACCCCGUAACUUCGGGAGAAGGGGUGCUGACUUUAAGUCAGCCGCAGUGAAUAGGCCCAAGCAACUGUUUAUCAAAAACACAGCUCUCUGCUAAAUCGUAAGAUGAUGUAUAGGGGGUGACGCCUGCCCGGUGCUGGAAGGUUAAGAGGAGUGCUUAGGAGUAAUCCGAAGGUAUGAAUUGAAGCCCCAGUAAACGGCGGCCGUAACUAUAACGGUCCUAAGGUAGCGAAAUUCCUUGUCGGGU
Molecule: ribosomal RNA, 1787 nt
Filed under: human metagenome
Description: bacterial LSU rRNA
Rfam family: Bacterial large subunit ribosomal RNA
Source: RNAcentral